RNAcentral lists this ribosomal RNA (443 nucleotides) under uncultured bacterium. RNAcentral describes it as "bacterial SSU rRNA". It matches the Rfam family "Bacterial small subunit ribosomal RNA", at positions 359 to 793 of the family's 1533-position model. The record is from RNAcentral.
AAUAUUGCUACAAUGGGGCGCUAAGCCUGAUGCAGCCAUGCCGCGUGUAUGAAGAAGGCCUUCGGGUUGUAAAGUACUUUCAGCAGUGAGGAAGGUGGGUAUGUUAAUAGCAUACUCAUUUGACGUUAGCUGCAGAAGAAGCACCGGCUAACUCCGUGCCAGCAGCCGCGGUAAUACGGAGGGUGCGAGCGUUAAUCGGAAUUACUGGGCGUAAAGCGCAUGCAGGUGGUUUGUUAAGUCAGAUGUGAAAGCCCGGGGCUCAACCUCGGAAUUGCAUUUGAAACUGGCAAACUAGAGUACUGUAGAGGGGGUAGAAUUCGGGUUGUAGCGGUGAAAUGCGUAGAGAUCUGAAGGAAUACCGGUGGCGAAGGCGGCCCCCUGGACAGAUACUGACACUCAGAUGCGAAAGCGUGGGGAGCAAACAGGAUUAGAUACCCUGGUAG